UACGAAGGGAGCUAGCGUUGUUCGGAAUCACUGGGCGUAAAGCGCACGUAGGCGGAUGUGUCAGUCAGGGGUGAAAUCCCGGAGCUCAACUUCGGAACUGCCCUUGAUACAGCACGUCUUGAGUCCGGAAGAGGUGGGUGGAAUUCCUAGUGUAGAGGUGAAAUUCGUAGAUAUCAGGAGGAACACCUGUGGUGUAGACAGCUUACUGGACCACUUCUGACGCUGAGACACGAAAGCGUGGGUAGCAAACAGG
RNAcentral lists this ribosomal RNA (253 nucleotides) under uncultured bacterium. RNAcentral describes it as "partial 16S ribosomal RNA". It matches the Rfam family "Bacterial small subunit ribosomal RNA", at positions 524 to 776 of the family's 1533-position model. The record is from RNAcentral.